AAAGAACAAGGCGAGGAUCAUGUAGUGCCAUUAUGAAAAUGUAAGCGUGAAGCUCUUUGGUAUAUAUCUGAUUACCAUAAAUGAAGAUUUGAAAAUUAAGUUUUCUCUUUGAAUGCCACUACAUUUUUUGAUCUCAUUUUUCUAACCAAAACCUAUUAAACCCAUUCUUCACUUCUCAAUUCACGACUUCGAUUUCAAAGAUUAUGGAACUG
RNAcentral lists this unclassified non-coding RNA (212 nucleotides) under Hevea brasiliensis (rubber tree). Lineage: Eukaryota; Viridiplantae; Streptophyta; Magnoliopsida; Malpighiales; Euphorbiaceae. The record is from RNAcentral.